RNAcentral lists this long non-coding RNA (984 nucleotides) under Salvator merianae (Argentine black and white tegu). RNAcentral's name for it is "lncRNA (ENSSMRG00000004334.1)". The record is from RNAcentral. Lineage: Eukaryota; Metazoa; Chordata; Lepidosauria; Squamata; Teiidae.
GGAGGAGGAGGAGGAUGUGGUCAAAAGCUCUGACAGCAUUACUUCCCUCCCUGGGGAGAAAAAGGAAGCUGUUCUGUUUCGUCUCACCCAGCUGUCUGAUGGAGCACUUCCAACGGCUGUGGGGGACCCUGCAACAGGCCCUGGAUUAUGUUUCCUCCUUCACCACCUACCUCCUUGGAGAUGAAACACAUCCAGGAGCAGAAGCAUCAGGGGCUACAAGGGAAAGGAGAAACUAUAGCGGCCACCAUAGUGGUGAAGUGGAGUCAACNUGCUAUGGAAACAUUUCCUCAAGGGGACACCUGGGGGUCCUCGAAGAUCCCUGCACGGCAGAGAUAAACCCAGCCAGAGAGCAGAUGCAGGUGGCAUCGGAACCAGCAGACGAUAGCGCUCNUCCUGCAAGGGACGUUCUCAAAUCUUCCAAACUGCCUGAUAAAUGUGAGGGAUGGGAAGAGCAUGAGCAGAAACUCUCAGAGUCCUCCCAGUUUCCAGCUGAUGCCUCAAAGACAAAACCCACAGCAACUGGAAUUUGUGGCACUCNGCAAGAUCACCUAGAAGAGCCAAGGAUGAUUGAGGGACUCCAUCAGCGGGAGCCAGAAGGACUCAGCUGGAAGGGGAGAACACAGCAUGAGGGGGUGGAAGAUACAGGAUGCGACCUUCCCUGGGAACCAGGCAGGCAAGGAGACAGGGAACUGGCUGGCAUUAUAGGGAGCCAAGGGGAGCAAAAGAAGAAAGAGGAAAUUGUGCGCAAGGAGGAUAUCCAAGAGCAGGCAGAAGAAGGGGUAUGGUUUGCAGAAGAACAGCAAAGAGAGCUGGAGCGGGUCAAAUAUAAUGAAGGAUUUCAGCCUGUGGGCCUGGAGAAAGAGGUAAAGAUGGUGAACCACCACAAGAUAAAGGCUGAAAGGGAGCAGCAAGAUGAAAUAGGAAACCAGCAGGGGCAGCAAGAUAUGGCAGGNGCAGAGGGGGUUCUUCAAGGAAAACCAGAGU